CCGUAACUAUAACGGUCCUAAGGUAGCGAAAUUCCUUGUCGGGUAAGUUCCGACCCGCACGAAAGGUGUAACGAUUUGGGCACUGUCUCAACGAGGGACCCGGUGAAAUUGAAAUACCUGUGAAGAUGCAGGUUACCCGCGACUGGACAGAAAGACCCCAUGGAGCUUUACUGUAACCUGACAUUGGGUUUUGUUGUAUUACGUACAGGAUAGGUGGGAGGCUUAGAAGGCUGGACGCUAGUCUGGCUGGAGCCGGCGUUGGGAUACCACCCUUGAUACAACGGAAUUCUAACCGAGAGAGUAACGAAAUCCGGGACAGUGUCAGGCGGGCAGUUUGACUGGGGCGGUCGCCUCCGAAAGAGUAACGGAGGCGCCCAAAGGUUCCCUCAGCGCGGCCGGAAAUCGCGCGAAGAGUGUAAAGGCAGAAGGGAGCUUGACUGCGAGCCAAACACGGCGAGCAGGUACGAAAGUAGGGCUUAGUGAUCCGGUGGUACCGAGUGGAAGGGCCAUCGCUCAACGGAUAAAAGCUACCCCGGGGAUAACAGGCUAAUCUCUCCCAAGAGUCCAUAUCGACGGGGAGGUUUGGCACCUCGAUGUCGGCUCAUCACAUCCUGGGGCUGAAGUCGGUCCCAAGGGUUGGGCUGUUCGCCCAUUAAAGUGGUACGUGAGCUGGGUUCAGAACGUCGUGAGACAGUUCGGUCCCUAUCCAUCGCGGGCGCAAGAGAUUUGAAGGGGUCUGCUCCUAGUACGAGAGGACCGGAGUGGACGGACCGCUGGUGUACCAGUUAUUCCGCCAGGAGUACAGCUGGGUAGCUACGUCCGGACUGGAUAAACGCUGAAAGCAUCUAAGCGUGAAGCCAUCCUUAAGAUGAGAUCUCUCACAGAGUAAUCUGGUAAGACACCUUAAAGAAGAUGAGGUAGAUAGGCCGGGAGUGUAAGUGCAGCAAUGUAUUGAGCUGACCGGUACUAAUAUGUCGAGGGC
This 982-nucleotide ribosomal RNA is filed under the name human gut metagenome. Its description in RNAcentral is "bacterial LSU rRNA". It matches the Rfam family "Bacterial large subunit ribosomal RNA", at positions 1934 to 2912 of the family's 2925-position model. The record is from RNAcentral.